UACGGGGGGAGCAAGCGUUGUUCGGAUUUACUGGGCGUAAAGGGCGCGUAGGCGGCCACCGCAAGUCGACUGUGAAAUCUCCGGGCUUAACCCGGAAAGGUCAGCCGAUACUGCGGGGCUAGAGUGCAGAAGGGGCAACUGGAAUUCUCGGUGUAGCGGUGAAAUGCGUAGAUAUCGAGAGGAACACCUGCGGCGAAGGCGG
Molecule: ribosomal RNA, 202 nt
Filed under: uncultured bacterium
Lineage: Bacteria
Description: partial 16S ribosomal RNA
Rfam family: Bacterial small subunit ribosomal RNA
Source: RNAcentral